Molecule: ribosomal RNA, 491 nt
Filed under: uncultured bacterium
Lineage: Bacteria
Description: bacterial SSU rRNA
Rfam family: Bacterial small subunit ribosomal RNA
Source: RNAcentral
AAAUGAAUAGACGGGGGCCCGCACAAGCGGUGGAGCAUGUGGUUUAAUUCGAUGCAACGCGAAAAACCUUACCUACCCUUGACAUCCUUGGAACCCUGUAGAGAUACGGGGGUGCUUCGGCACCAAGAGACAGGUGCUGCAUGGCUGUCGUCAGCUCGUGUCGUGAGAUGUUGGGUUAAGUCCCGUAACGAGCGCAACCCCUAUACUUAGUUGCCACUGCGUAAGCAAGCACUUUAAGUAGACUGCCGGUGACAAACCGGAGGAAGGUGGGGAUGAUGUCAAGUCAUCAUGGCCCUUAUGGGUAGGGCUACACACGUGCUACAAUGGGCAGUACAGAGGGCGUUGAAACCGCGAGGUGGAACAAAUCCCAAAAAACUGUUCGUAGUCCGGAUUGGAGUCUGCAACUCGACUCCAUGAAGUUGGAAUCGCUAGUAAUCGCAAAUCAGCAUGUUGCGGUGAAUACGUUCCCGGGCCUUGUACACACCGCCCGU